CUAGAAAAUUUAAAAUUUUGCAAAACAAUAACUUGUCUUUCAAAUAAAGGCAACAGUAGUAUACCGCUGUUCAAAACUCAUAAAUCCAUGGACAAAAAACAAAAUCGGGGUAACAAACUAAAACCGAGGGACACGCAUUAAAUAUAAGAGGAGAACAACGACACAACACCGAAACGGACAGAGCAUCAGACAAAACACCAC
RNAcentral lists this long non-coding RNA (201 nucleotides) under Mytilus galloprovincialis (Mediterranean mussel). Lineage: Eukaryota; Metazoa; Mollusca; Bivalvia; Mytilida; Mytilidae. The record is from RNAcentral.